AACUGCAUAAAGUGACAUUAUCUUAUUGCAACAAUACUGUAAAUGAUACAUCUCAUUAUCACAAUUAGUGUGAGGUUUAUGCUGUGUUUGACAUUUGACACUGUCCAGUGUUCACCAGAUCAUGUAUAUUGGAAGAUAUCAGUAAGUGCUGUCAGGGGUGGUCUGGAUUUCUUCCUGGUUUAUUUUGAGCUUGUUUUUUUUUUCUUCUUUACUUUUUCAUCUUCCACCUUUUCUGUUUCCUGUUUUCUGUAAUUAUUUGUUUCUUCUUGCAUUGCUGAGGGAGGACUCUUCACCUUGGGAGCAGAUUUCUGCCUGUCCUUAGGAGGAGACUCAAAGGAAGAGGGAAUAUUUCUGAAAGGUUUCAUAUGGGGUUUUGUUUUGGAAGAAGCAAUGAAUACUUGGUCUCUUUCCAACUUCUCUACACCACUCGUGAAUUUGCACAUCUUUUUAGUCAUCUCUUUUUCAGACUAGAAAAAAAUAUGUAUUGGGCAAGUUUAAGAAAACAACAAAAACAAAGCAAUUUUUAAGACUUCGAGAAAACACUACUGCUUAUGAAAGUUACUAUCUAUUCUGCAGAAUGAAAGGCAGUAUUCUGCUUUCCUCCAGGAUCAAUAGAUGACUGAGAUGUCUGAUUUUGUUUGUUAUGCCUUAUCAUCACUUGCAAGGUGCCUGCUCUUCUUCCAGACUGACUGCAUUUGCUUACAUGUGCACCCUGAUGAUUUCACCCAAGUCAGCAUUGUUUCUAGAAUUAACAAACCUGGAACCAAAGCACGUCUCAAUAGGUAAGCAAAUCUGAUAGACUAUUUCUAAGUGUAAUAUCUGACAGAAUAACUGGGAUCUACUCUAUUGUCAUUGACUUAACUAGUCCUUACAAGCAUGACAGGUAUAGUGGGAAAGCUGUUUUCCUUAGGGAUGAUUGUUCUGUCCAAUACUAACAUUGCUCACAUUUUGGUGACAUCAUUCAUUAUAUAUUUGGAGCAGUCUUACAUUCUUGAUUAAAGUUCAUAAAAGUUCACUGAAAUUCUCAAAAAAUUAUUGUUUCAUUCAGCCCCAGUGCCAUGGGCAUCACAAUCACUUAAAUAUUUUUUUUUCUGAGUGUUUACUUGAUUGUAUUUCACAUUAGCCUGACCUAAUUUACCCACAUCUCAAAGGCCAUGCCAGGUUUCAUUCCCUGUAAGUCAGUAUAGCCUCUUGGAGAGCCUGGGGAUAUAUCCAGAUCCAGUGGAAAUAGCUACAGCCUUGUUUUAUUACUGCUGGAAUUUGACCUAUAAGAAAAAACCUUGCUUCCAUUUUAUCCUACUGAAGCUGUUUCUUAAGCCAAGAAACCUAAAUUCUGGAUUCCCCUAUAUUUCUUCUAAAACAAACAAGCAAACAAACAAACUCCAACGAAACACACACACAAUGUCCACCCCUCUACACCCAGCAAAAUACUGUCCAUGAGUACUGAUAUAAAUUUUGUUCAUGUCUCUCACUGUUACUUCCUGUUUGGAGCUAUCCUUGAUGUACUUUUUUUCCCAAAGAAAAGUCUUAUAAUCAUCUUUUUUAUAAAGGGAGAAUCUGGAAAGUCUUUGAAGAAAUAAAA
Corapipo altera (White-ruffed manakin) is the source of this 1582-nucleotide long non-coding RNA. RefSeq lists it as uncharacterized. The record is from RefSeq and is a predicted model, not a curated record. The transcript is spliced from 3 exons. NCBI's taxonomy places the organism in Eukaryota, Metazoa, Chordata, Aves, Passeriformes, Pipridae.